Molecule: long non-coding RNA, 292 nt
Organism: Etheostoma spectabile (orangethroat darter)
Lineage: Eukaryota; Metazoa; Chordata; Actinopteri; Perciformes; Percidae
Exons: 3
Source: RefSeq, a predicted model, not a curated record
UGGGCGUGCUGGUGUUACAAGGAGGUGGUUUCAGGUGCAUUCUGGGCGUGCUGGUCUAACAGGGAGGUGUGUUCAGGUGCAUUCUGGGCGUGCUGGUCUUACAGGGAGGUGUGUUCAGGUGCAUUCUGGGUGUAUUGCUAUCUUGAGGCAGGGGGAAGUGAUCGCACCAUUAACCAACAAAACCAACAGUUAUUUUAACAGAGAAUUAUUAAAAUGCUCCUAGGCACACACACAGGGCGCAUACACUAGUCCUUUUACACACACACACACACACACACACACACACACACAC